CCUGCACAAGACGAACAUAUAGUAGUAAUUUAGAGAAUACAAACUAAAGGCACCGUAUAUAGGCGGAUAAAUUACGCUAAUGAUACGAUCAUAUCAAGAAUCUAGAUGUUACUUCUUCAAUAAAUCACCAAGCAUGCAUGAACAAUUUCUCAAAACAUCGCAGCGGAAUAAAACAUCAUUACAUCGACACCUAAAUAAAAUAUUUCAACAGUCAUCCAAAUAUAAUAAGUCACCAAGUUGCCAUGUCAUCACAAUACACAUAACAUCAUUGAUACAUCGUCUCAAAAUCUCCAACAGACAUAAAUAAAGACAAACAUCAAAGACCGACUCGUAAUCAGAGCCCUAAAAACCAAGGCACCAAAAGCAGUAGACGAGGUAGCUCCAAGCUAUCCUCAAGCGACUCCCAAAGCAAACAAACUACUCUUGCACACUGUCUAUCCAUCCAUAUGGAUAAGGAUGACGAUCAACCAAACGACCACUGGGGGUUAGUUCAGUUUUCACAAUUAAACAUAAUCUAACAUAAGUAUUGAAGGAUUCAUACAUAUCAAAUAUACAUACUCAACAUUCCUAGAAUGCUAACUCUACAUGAAUAUUAUCCCUCAUUCCAUACACAUCAUGUUAUCACACUUCUAUACGAGCAUAGCAAGCAUAUUCAAUCUCUAAUCAAAUCAUCAACAUAAGCUCAUCACUUAAUAACAUCAAUCAAUAUAAGAAUUUUCAAAGAUCGUAUCGUUUUGCCGUUUUUCAAAGAAUCUAAGUUUUCAAAGCAAACUCAAGUUAAAGUUCAUGAUUCCCAUCCAAAACAUUUUUAUAAAUCAUAACAAGAGUAAACAACCCUAACCCUACCCUUUUACACUUAUGAGUUGUGUGUUCAUUAUUUUCUAAAGAAUGUCUGUCAUUUACAUAUUGGCCCUUUAGCUCAUGAACCACUUCAUAUGAGAACAUAAUAAUUAUUCCAAGGGUUAAUAAUAUAUUUUAUCAUCUCUAACAGUAAGACAUUACUCUAACUUGAUUCAAAAGCUUAUCAUGAAGAGCUUAUCGAAAUAAGCUGAAAACAACUUAUACAAGCAUCAAAUAAAGCUUUAUCCAAACAGGCCCCUAGGUUAACAGUAAAUUUCCCCAAAAUAACACCCCCUAGCUUCAUCCAAACAGUCACUCUCCCAAAAUCAUUCAUUAUACAACAAAAUCAUCAACAACAACAACAACAGUAACGCUCUAGUCGUUGUUUUAUUUAUUAAAAUUUAUUUGGAGUAUAUUAUAUGAUUUUAAUUAAUAAUUGGUGAUUUAUGUGGUGUGGUAUAUUUUAUUAUAUAGUUUAUUUUAUAAUAAUUGGAUUAAGUGAGAAAUUAUUAUUAUUUUGAAGUUUGGGGAAUUAAUAGAAUUUAAUAGAAUUAGGAGGGAGUAAAGUGAAAUAAAGGAAAGUUGAGAAGGAAGUUAAGAAAGAAAGAAAAGAGUCAAAAACAUUCUUACGUGAAACUGUCAGUUUUGGGAGAAAGGGAGAGAAGAGCAAGUAGAGCCAAGAACCAUUGUUUGUUGUGCAUUUCUUCUGCAAUUUUAAGGUAAGGGUGAGGUUUGCUUCAGUAUUAUAGACAUUAAUUUCUGAUUUUAAGUUUAACAGAGUUUUUGGUGAGAAUUAGGGAUUAUGGGUUUUGUGAUGAAAUGAUGAUUUUGGGGGUAGAGAUUGUUGUUAUGAUGUUAGAAAUAGGUUCUAAGUGUAUACAGCAAGUUAAUUCUUAUCUGUAAACUGAUUUGGGGAGUGAAUUGAAGAAAAAUGGGAUUUUGGGGAAAAACCUGUUUUCUGUCUGUACAGAAGUUCAUCGCUCGCCUCGCGAGUAGCUUGUGCUCGCCAAGGCGAGUGAGCAACUUCAUAGCUCGCCUCGCGAGCAGACCAACUCGCCGUGGCGAGUAACCCAGUAUAAAACUUGAUUUUUAAAUUGUUGUUAUAAGAUGUUUUUGGGAUAGUUUAAUGUACCUAAAUGAUUUUAGAGAGGACUAGAGCAAGUUUUAGAUUAAAAAGAUGAAUAGGGAGCUUAGAAUUGAAGUUUGAGUGAGAAAAAUGUCAAAACUCCCGAGAGCACCAUAUUUUCACUCGCCUCGAGUUCGCCUUGAACUCGCCAUGGCGAGCAACCCGUUUUGUGAGUUCGCCAUAGCGAGCAGAUGUGCUCGCGAGGCGAGUUGCCCAGUUUUUGUAUGCUGAUUGUACUUAUAUGAAUGGUGAUGAUUGAUGUUGUUGUUGAGCGUAAUUGUGAUUAAUUGUGCAUCUUUCUGGAUUGCUGGAUUACUAGUUGUUGAUGUUGUUGAUGGCUGUAAUGUAUGUUAUAUUUAUUAAAUCAUACAUGUUGAAUAAAUUCGGAGUCAUAUGAGAAUGUAUGCAUGGUCAAGUUGUAUGUAGAUAUACACAAGUGAGUCCAUAACAUAUGCAUAAACAGCGGGAGGACUCAUGUCCUGGAGCACUAGUUGUUCACAGCGGUGAGGACUUCGAUCAUGAUGAAUGCUUUAACCAUUCAAAAGCGGUGAGAGCUUCGGUCCUGUUUGGUACCACAUGCAUAAUUGCAUUUAUUAAGGGGUCUUAGUGGUGUCGUCAUGUCAUGCAUGAGUCUUUGUUGUUGGUUGUAAUUGUUAUAAUGAUGAUGAUGAUGUUGUUGUUGAUGUAUGUAUAUUUAUACACCUAUUAUGAUGAAUUGAUUUGAAGAUAAGUUGUUGCUUUGUGAAAUAUAUAUUUAUAUUUACAAGAUGAUGUAUUGAUGUUUAAUAGGGUGUUAGAUUCAAUUGAUGAUUUUAAUAUCUAUAUUUUAUUGUUGUGAAUCUCACCCCUUCUGCUUGAAAAUGUUGCCCUUCCUAUGGGUAACUUGCAGGUGAUCCUGAGUAGUCGGUGGUGGCUCAAGUGUCGUGUCUAGGGCUCUGAUACGUGGGAUGAGAUUUCUUAUUGUUUUCUUUCCUAUGUAUCAAUUUUUGGAACAUGAUGAUGUGGCCCUAUGAUUGUUUAGAUUUCUUUGAUGAGGCUUUUAUGCCAGGAUAAUUUGAUGGAGAAUUUAACCGUUGUCAUUGUUGUUUAAAUGCAAAUAUUCCGCUGCAAGAUUAAUGAUGUUUUGAAAGUUGUUUAAUUAAAUAGUUUCAUAUGCUAUAUAAGAAAUUUUGAAAAUGUAGUGUAGCAUGCCCGUUUGGUGCUUAACACUGAUGAUUUUAUUUAUACUUUGAUAUAUUUGGGAUAUCGGGGUGUUACAAAAAACAUGCAACAAAGCAUAAAAAACUGAGAUAAAAACAAAAACGAAAUUAAGAGAGAAUUGAACUAUAAAAGAAGAGAAGAAAGAGAGAAAGCAUUUUUACAAAAGGAAUGAGAGAGAGAGUUUUCACGACCGCGGAAUGACUUCGAUUCCAACUUAGAGAGAGAGAGAGAGAGAGAGGCUUCUGACUUCGAUUUUGACCGAAGCAAGAAGCUGGUUUUGGGUUUGGAUUUAUGACUUCGAUUUUCAUUGAUGCAAGGAAGGUGGUUUGGAUUUCAGUUUUGGGAGAAGGACGAUGGUUUAGUUUUCAGUUUUCUGACCAAAGGAAUGGACGGUGGUAUUGGUUCUGACUUUGAAUCCCAUUAGAUUGAUAGGGUUGAUACAC
This 3609-nucleotide long non-coding RNA is filed under the name Medicago truncatula (barrel medic). RNAcentral describes it as "long non-coding RNA (MTRU_LNC003648)". The stretch from base 3142 to 3229 matches the Rfam family "MIR2617 microRNA precursor family". The record is from RNAcentral. Lineage: Eukaryota; Viridiplantae; Streptophyta; Magnoliopsida; Fabales; Fabaceae.